This 142-nucleotide ribosomal RNA is filed under the name Klebsiella pneumoniae. RNAcentral's name for it is "partial 16S ribosomal RNA". It matches the Rfam family "Bacterial small subunit ribosomal RNA", at positions 1 to 138 of the family's 1533-position model. The record is from RNAcentral. RNAcentral also lists the same sequence under 4 other names. Lineage: Bacteria; Pseudomonadati; Pseudomonadota; Gammaproteobacteria; Enterobacterales; Enterobacteriaceae.
AAAUUGAAGAGUUUGAUCAUGGCUCAGAUUGAACGCUGGCGGCAGGCCUAACACAUGCAAGUCGAGCGGUAGCACAGAGAGCUUGCUCUCGGGUGACGAGCGGCGGACGGGUGAGUAAUGUCUGGGAAACUGCCUGAUGGAG